This 253-nucleotide ribosomal RNA is filed under the name uncultured bacterium. Its description in RNAcentral is "partial 16S ribosomal RNA". It matches the Rfam family "Bacterial small subunit ribosomal RNA", at positions 524 to 776 of the family's 1533-position model. The record is from RNAcentral.
UACGUAUGUCCCGAGCGUUAUCCGGAUUUAUUGGGCGUAAAGCGAGCGCAGGCGGUUUAUUAAGUCUGAUGUGAAAGCCCGGGGCUCAACCCCGGAAUGGCAUUGGAAACUGGUUAACUUGAGUGCAGUAGAGGUAAGUGGAAUUCCAUGUGUAGCGGUGAAAUGCGUAGAUAUAUGGAGGAACACCGGUGGCGAAGGCGGCUUCCUGGACUGUAACUGACGUUGAGGCUCGAAAGUGUGGGGAGCAAACAGG